UGAGGAAUAUUGGUCAAUGGGGGCAACCCUGAACCAGCGACGCCGCGUGAGGGACGAAGGCCUUCGGGUCGUAAACCUCUUUUUCAGGUGACGAGGAAGGACGGUAGCCUGAGAAGAAGCCUCGGCUAACUACGUGCCAGCAGCCGCGGUAAAACGUAGGAGGCGAGCGUUAUCCGGAGUUACUGGGCGUAAAGCGGAUGUAGGCGGUGGCUCGCGUCGGAUGUGAAAGCUCUUGGCUCAACCGGGAGAGGGCGUCGGAUACGGGGUCGACUAGAGGGCAGCAGAGGAGCGUGGAAUUCCGGGUGUAGUGGUGAAAUGCGUAGAGAUCCGGAGGAACACCAGAGGCGCAGGCGACGCUCUGGGCUGCAACUGACGCUGAGAACCGAAGGCAUGGGGAGCGAACGGGAUUAGAAACCCCGGUAGUCCAUGCAGUAAACGAUGCACACUGGAUGUCUGGGUGCUCGCAAGAGGACU
This 474-nucleotide ribosomal RNA is filed under the name uncultured bacterium. Its description in RNAcentral is "bacterial SSU rRNA". It matches the Rfam family "Bacterial small subunit ribosomal RNA", at positions 355 to 839 of the family's 1533-position model. The record is from RNAcentral.